This 948-nucleotide ribosomal RNA is filed under the name uncultured Burkholderia sp. RNAcentral's name for it is "bacterial SSU rRNA". It matches the Rfam family "Bacterial small subunit ribosomal RNA", at positions 8 to 950 of the family's 1533-position model. The record is from RNAcentral. Lineage: Bacteria; Pseudomonadati; Pseudomonadota; Betaproteobacteria; Burkholderiales; Burkholderiaceae.
AGGGUUUGAUUAUGGCUCAGAUUGAACGCUGGCGGCAUGCCUUACACAUGCAAGUCGAACGGCAGCACGGGGGCAACCCUGGUGGCGAGUGGCGAACGGGUGAGUAAUACAUCGGAACGUGUCCUGUAGUGGGGGAUAGCCCGGCGAAAGCCGGAUUAAUACCGCAUACGCUCUGCGGAGGAAAGCGGGGGCUCCUUCGGGACCUCGCGCUACAGGGGCGGCCGAUGGCAGAUUAGCUAGUUGGUGGGGUAAAGGCCUACCAAGGCGACGAUCUGUAGCUGGUCUGAGAGGACGACCAGCCACACUGGGACUGAGACACGGCCCAGACUCCUACGGGAGGCAGCAGUGGGGAAUUUUGGACAAUGGGCGCAAGCCUGAUCCAGCAAUGCCGCGUGUGUGAAGAAGGCCUUCGGGUUGUAAAGCACUUUUGUCCGGAAAGAAAACCUCAGCCCUAAUACGGCGGGGGGAUGACGGUACCGGAAGAAUAAGCACCGGCUAACUACGUGCCAGCAGCCGCGGUAAUACGUAGGGUGCAAGCGUUAAUCGGAAUUACUGGGCGUAAAGCGUGCGCAGGCGGUCCGCUAAGACAGAUGUGAAAUCCCCGGGCUUAACCUGGGAACUGCAUUUGUGACUGGCGGGCUAGAGUAUGGCAGAGGGGGGUAGAAUUCCGCGUGUAGCAGUGAAAUGCGUAGAGAUGUGGAGGAAUACCGAUGGCGAAGGCAGCCCCCUGGGCCAAUACUGACGCUCAUGCACGAAAGCGUGGGGAGCAAACAGGAUUAGAUACCCUGGUAGUCCACGCCCUAAACGAUGUCAACUAGUUGUCGGGCCUUCAUUGGCUUGGUAACGUAGCUAACGCGUGAAGUUGACCGCCUGGGGAGUACGGUCGCAAGAUUAAAACUCAAAGGAAUUGACGGGGACCCGCACAAGCGGUGGAUGAUGUGGAUUAAU